CUGUGAACCAACAUAGCACGACGUUGUCUACCUUUAUAUGAUUCAGUCUAAACUAUGUGGAAAGGUUCCUAGUUUAAUUGAUGUGGUCCCCUGAUUGUUGUUGACAACUACAGAUACACAGUCCUAGCUAUGUGGAUGGCAAAAGCAGCCCCAUGUAGGUCAUCUGAGGUGGCGUUCAGGUGGUGAAGAUGGGGAUUGGUUGUGCAGACAAAAGUUGUGCCUGAGUCUCUUCCUGUCCUUUGCUCUCCUCUUGUUGAUUCUGCAAGGAUGUCUCUGGUCUCGAGACAUGCUGUGGCUCAUAUGGUCACCUGUGGCCCUCCAGACUUCUAUCACCCCCAGGCUCAUUCCGAAGACCACAAUGCCAGUGGUUAGAGGGCAUCUGCAUCUGACCCAUAGGAGAGUUCCUUUUAAGUAUGGCAACACUUAUAUGGCAGCUAGGACAAGAGAAACUCAGAGUAUUGAACAAAAUGGAAUGGACUCGUGCAGCCUUGAAGCAGUAUAUUGUGCAGCCAGUGGACUCCAGAUAAUCAAUAACAGUUAGUGAUUGGAAGCCUGCAUUGGCACAGGUAUGGAGGUUCCCUCAGCUCCGCAGAUGCCAGAUGCUUCACCCUCCACUCCACUGAAGAGGACAAGUCCCCAGAAGCAAACGCUCUAGGAGAAGGCAGAGAACCACGAUAUUCCAAGUGCCUCAGUGCCAGACGUUCUUUACGUGUCAUCUCGUGAUCUCCCUGGAAUCCUCUGCCAACCCUGUGAGGAUUAUUAUACUCAUUCUGCAAAUGAGAAAACUGAGGCCCAGAAAGGUGAAAUUAGUUGCCUAAGGACAAAGUAUCCAGUGACAGAACUUAGACACACACAGGUAUGGUUCCAAAGCCCAUGAGUCACCCCGUGUGGCUGCUGCUUUUUCACUCUUUCCUACAUUUGACAUUCUCUGUCUCCUCCUCUGACUCAGAGGAAGCUGCAGGGACCCUGAAAGUUAGUGUCCAGGUUGUGCACCGCACAAAUCCAGGGGCUUUAUCUGAAUCAUGAUGGUGCCC
RNAcentral lists this long non-coding RNA (1034 nucleotides) under Cercocebus atys (sooty mangabey). RNAcentral describes it as "lncRNA (ENSCATG00000045689.1)". The record is from RNAcentral. Lineage: Eukaryota; Metazoa; Chordata; Mammalia; Primates; Cercopithecidae.